CGAUUGUCUAUACUAUGACACCCAAAACGCAUUCCUUGGAAAGAUGAACAAAGUGGGUGAGACAUCUCUACUAUCUCAUUUCAUUGAACUGAAGUCC
This 97-nucleotide small nucleolar RNA is filed under the name Choloepus hoffmanni (Hoffmann's two-fingered sloth). RNAcentral's name for it is "Small nucleolar RNA SNORD116 (ENSCHOG00000014323.1)". It matches the Rfam family "Small nucleolar RNA SNORD116". From Rfam's summary of the family: HBII-85 is a member of the C/D class of snoRNAs, which contain the C (UGAUGA) and D (CUGA) box motifs. HBII-85 is encoded in a tandemly repeated array with another C/D snoRNA, HBII-52, in the Prader-Willi syndrome (PWS) region of chromosome 15. Lineage: Eukaryota; Metazoa; Chordata; Mammalia; Pilosa; Megalonychidae. The record is from RNAcentral.